RNAcentral lists this transfer RNA (77 nucleotides) under Erwinia phage pEp_SNUABM_01. Its description in RNAcentral is "tRNA-Pro". It matches the Rfam family "tRNA". From Rfam's summary of the family: Transfer RNA (tRNA) molecules are approximately 80 nucleotides in length. The record is from RNAcentral. Lineage: Duplodnaviria; Heunggongvirae; Uroviricota; Caudoviricetes. RNAcentral also lists the same sequence under 1 other name.
CUCCGUGUAGCUCAAUAGUGCAGAGCGCCUGAUUUGGGAUCAGGAGGUUUGAGGUUCGAGUCCUCACAUGGAGACCA